AUGAAUAAAACCAGAAGUAAUGCAAGGUAAACUGUGGUACAGUUGAUUGAGCGUAAACAGGCUGAAAUCUAUUAGCUAGCCUCUGCUUUGUAUAUUCCACUGGGACUUCCCUGCCCCUUACUGCUAACAGCUAUACAUGUGCUGGCAGGUAGGUAGGUUAGGUUUUUUCUAAAAAGACAUAGAACAGGUUCAUGUGGUCUUAGGUCACGUCCUCGAGGACAUCAGUGACUCUCAGAUUCAGCAGCUCGGUUAGGUACAUGCAAGUAGUACGAAGUAACUUUAACACUGAG
Molecule: non-coding RNA, 290 nt
Organism: Pelobates cultripes (western spadefoot toad)
Lineage: Eukaryota; Metazoa; Chordata; Amphibia; Anura; Pelobatidae
Source: the annotation of a GenBank genome assembly